UGGGGAAUAUUGGACAAUGGGGGAAACCCUGAUCCAGCGACGCCGCGUGUGUGAAGAAGGCCUGCGGGUUGUAAAGCACUUUUAGUGGGGACAAAAAGCCAUGGAUUAAUACUCUGUGGUCUUGAUUUAACCUACAGAAAAAGCACCGGCUAACUCUGUGCCAGCAGCCGCGGUAAUACAGAGGGUGCGAGCGUCAAUCGGAAUUACUGGGCGUAAAGCGCGCAUAGACGGUUUUGUAAGUCAGAUGUGAAAUCCCUGGGCUCAACCUGGGAACUGCAUUUGAGACUGCAUGGCUAGAGUAUCGAAGAGGGAAGUGGAAUUUCCGGUGUAGCGGUGAAAUGCGUAGAUAUCGGAAGGAACACCAGUGGCGAAAGCGACUUCCUGGUCGAAUACUGACGUUCAUGUGCGAAAGCGUGGGGAGCAAAC
Molecule: ribosomal RNA, 426 nt
Filed under: uncultured bacterium
Lineage: Bacteria
Description: bacterial SSU rRNA
Rfam family: Bacterial small subunit ribosomal RNA
Source: RNAcentral